This 441-nucleotide ribosomal RNA is filed under the name uncultured bacterium. RNAcentral's name for it is "partial 16S ribosomal RNA". It matches the Rfam family "Bacterial small subunit ribosomal RNA", at positions 338 to 795 of the family's 1533-position model. The record is from RNAcentral.
CCUACGGGUGGCAGCAGUGGGGAAUAUUGCACAAUGGGGGAAACCCUGAUGCAGCGACGCCGCGUGAGUGAAGAAGUAUUUCGGUAUGUAAAGCUCUAUCAGCAGGGAAGAAGAAAGACGGUACCUGACUAAGAAGCCCCGGCUAACUACGUGCCAGCAGCCGCGGUAAUACGUAGGGGGCAAGCGUUAUCCGGAUUUACUGGGUGGAAAGGGAGCGUAGACGGCUGUGCAAGUCUGAAGUGAAAGCCCGGGGCUCAACCCUGGGACUGCUUUGGAAACUGUGGGGCUGGAGUGCUGGAGGGGUAAGUGGAAUUCCUAGUGUAGCGGUGAAAUGCGUAGAUAUUAGGAGGAACACCAGUGGCGAAGGCGGCUUACUGGACAGUAACUGACGUUGAGGCUCGAAAGCGUGGGGAGCAAACAGGAUUAGAUACCCGAGUAGUC